Molecule: ribosomal RNA, 468 nt
Filed under: uncultured bacterium
Lineage: Bacteria
Description: partial 16S ribosomal RNA
Rfam family: Bacterial small subunit ribosomal RNA
Source: RNAcentral
GACGAACGCUGGCGGCGUGCUUAACACAUGCAAGUCGAACGGAAAGGCCCUGCUUUUGUGGGGUGCUCGAGUGGCGAACGGGUGAGUAACACGUGAGUAACCUGCCCUUGACUGUGGGAUAACUUCAGGAAACUGGGGCUAAUACCGGAUAGGAGCUCCUGCUGCAUGGUGGGGGUUGGAAAGUUUAGGCGGUUGGGGCUGGACUCGCGGCUUAUCAGCUUGUUGGGGGGGUAGUGGCUUACCAAGGCUUUGACGGGUAGCCGGCCUGAGAGGGUGACCGGCCUCCUGGGGCCUGCGGUACGGCCCAGACUCCUACGGGAGGCAGCAGUGGGAAAUCUUGCACAGUGGGCGGAAGCGUGAUGCAGAAACGCUGCGUGCGGGAUGACGGCCUUCGGGUUGUAAACCGCUUUCGCCUGUGACGAAGCGUGAGUGACGGUAAUGGGUAAAGAAGCACCGGCUAACUACGUG